RNAcentral lists this ribosomal RNA (550 nucleotides) under uncultured bacterium. RNAcentral describes it as "bacterial SSU rRNA". It matches the Rfam family "Bacterial small subunit ribosomal RNA", at positions 117 to 703 of the family's 1533-position model. The record is from RNAcentral.
GUGGGAAUGUACCCUUCUCUAAGGAAUAGCCUCUGGAAACGGAGAGUAAUACCUUAUACGCCCUUCGGGGGAAGAUUUAUCGGAGAGGGAUCAGCCCGCGUUAGAUUAGAUAGUUGGUGGGGUAACGGCCUACCAAGUCUACGAUCUAUAGCUGGUUUUAGAGGAUGAUCAGCAACACUGGGACUGAGACACGGCCCAGACUCCUACGGGAGGCAGCAGUGGGGAAUCUUGGACAAUGGGCGCAAGCCUGAUCCAGCCAUGCCGCGUGAGUGAUGAAGGCCUUAGGGUCGUAAAGCUCUUUCGCCAGGGAUGAUAAUGACAGUACCUGGUAAAGAAACCCCGGCUAACUCCGUGCCAGCAGCCGCGGUAAUACGGAGGGGGUUAGCGUUGUUCGGAAUUACUGGGCGUAAAGCGCACGUAGGCGGACUAUUAAGUCAGGGGUGAAAUCCCGGGGCUCAACCCCGGAACUGCCUCUGAUACUGGUAGUCUAGAGUUCGAGAGAGGUGAGUGGAAUUCCGAGUGUAGAGGUGAAAUUCGUAGAUAUUCGGAG